This 338-nucleotide ribosomal RNA is filed under the name uncultured eukaryote. RNAcentral describes it as "LSU rRNA". It matches the Rfam family "Bacterial large subunit ribosomal RNA", at positions 2142 to 2479 of the family's 2925-position model. The record is from RNAcentral.
CUUAGGUGGGAGACGUUGAACCUUUUCUUCCGGGAAAGAGAGAGUCAUCGGUGAGAUACCACUCUUGGUAAGCUAGAGCGCUCAUUUUUAACCGUUAUCCGGUAAAAAGACAGUUUCAGGCGGGCAGUUUGACUGGGGCAGUCACCUCCCAAAAGGUAAUGGAGGUGUACAAAGGUUCUCUCAGGCUGGACGGAAAUCAGCCAUAGAGUGUAAAAGCAUAAGAGAGCUUGACUGCGUGACGGACAUGUCAAGCAGAGACGAAAGUCGGUUUUAGUGAUCCGACGGUGCUGAGUGGAAAGGCCGUCGCUCAACGGAUAAAAGUUACUCUAGGGAUAACA